UAUUGAUACAUUUUUUACCCAUAUUUUUUGGUCUUCAUUUUUGGGAUCAUUAUUAUCCACCUGCACAGUAGGUGGUGAAAUACAAUUGUUGUGAACACCAUUAUAUCAUAGAAGAAGAAGAAAGUAGUCCCUCCCAUCAAAGGAGUCAUCUCAGGGGUGAUGACUGAUGUUCAGGUUGAAUACCUGAAGAGAAUUCCUGGUGUGGUUGGUGCCGUCGUCUGACCCGUUAGGUAAUUGGGGAAAAAGAAGAGUCUGUAGGUCCUUUUGUUUUUUGACAAAUAGCAAAUACCUACGCAUGUGAAGCUUGGAUAUAAAAGGUAUACUGUAAGAGCUUUCGUCCCCAAAACACUGCAGUGUAAGAAUUUAAAGGAUUUGGCCAUGUUUCAAGUGUGCACAGAUGGACAGAGUAUAUUUGAACGGUGUGUAGAAGGAUGACGGUGUUGCAAUUGUGGUGGGAAUCAGGAUCCCGAGAUCCUGGAGUGCACUGUAAGGGUGAAGGAGACCGAGGUGGCAAAAGUUAGAGCAGUCAAUCGAAUCUCCUAUGCGGACCAGAUUAAAAUAAUUGAGAAAACAAGUGAUGCUAGUGAAAAAGUGGAUUUUGUGGCGUUCAUUGCCACAGUUAUAAACUGUACGGCACAAGUCUCAAAGAAGUCUAAGAAACUGGACAUUUUUGUGGCUGCAGCAAAAACGUUUUUGCGCAGGAAGACCCGCCCUCCCAGGUUCCCCUUGAGCCUGUGUAGUGAUCAGAUGUGUUUUAUUUAUUUUUAACUGAAAAGUUGUUUGAUUUAGUUUAGUUUAUUUAUUUAUUUAUUGGUCAUUUUGUAGUUUUUUUGCAGGGUAUUUAGUUCCAUUUUUGGUAAUCCUGUUUCCAUCCCGCAUAGUAGUUGGCGGGAUACACAUUACAUUGUGCGAUCGCCAAUAUACCAUAGACGAAGUAGAACAGGCGUUGUGCUGAAAAUCUCACCCCUGCUAGAAUUCUCCUUCCCUUCGCGUUCUUCAUUGCUGCGACUUGCUUGCCAGUUGAAAUUUCUGCUCUUCACUCAGUUUUCGGUUUGGGUAUUUGUUUCAAGUGUAUGUGGCGGUUCUAGCUUGUAUAGCGCUAAAUCCGCUACUGUUUUGUAUUAGUCUAUAAAUAAAUCUAUUUGCCAAAAUGUGUCAUCUCUCCCAUGUCUUAUUCGACUAGUAUAUUUGAAAGUGUAAUGAUAAUAAUUCAGCCAUAGUUGUUCUGAAAUGUGUAUUGCUUGCCAACGAUUUACUCCCUCUGUUUAAUAUAACACACAUACAUGUUGUUCUAUAGAAAGUAUUUGACUAGCCACAAAAUUAAGGAAAUUACAAGGUGGGGAGAAUUCUGGCAAGGGGGAGAUUUUCAGUCACAACACCGGUCGGUGGAACGAAGAUGGCCGCUGAAAGCGAGUGAGUUUGUUGAUGAGAGCGUGUAGGUAGAGAAAAUGUGUCAACUAUUUAUAUAAUACGUUAAUUCAUAUUCAAUACCAUUUACUUAAAUGUAUAUUCAAAUGAUAUGUACGUUGUAGAUUGUGGUUAGCUAGCAAUGGGUCGCUAGCUUGCUAGUUUACUAACGUUAGCUACACCCAAGUUAACCAACAACACGGCUGAGUGCAGGGGAUGAUGCAGCCAGGCAUCAUCUUGCAAGCAAACUGUUUUUCAACAUUGUAAUUUACUAAAGAUAUGACAUACAGUGGUAGUUAGCUGACAUACAUUUAGGAAAAUACAUUAAGCUUUUAUCUGAUUGAACCAGAAUCUGUCUUUAAAGGAGACGUUGAACGUGGCAGGAGAAUUUUCAUGUUCAACGUCUCCUGUAAAACCAGAUUAUGGUUCAGUGCUUGGUCGUUCCAUGUCAUUUCAGCAAGUCAUGACACCAACCAUCUCAGAUUGUUCUGAAAUAAUUUCCGUAGUUAGAAACCUAUAACAUUAGCAUUCUUGACACAUUAUUUUGAUUAAAUGUAAUUUGAUCUCUGAUAAAUUAAUAAGCUAACUGAUUACACCCAAAUUGGCCAUGUAAAUGUAUAGAAUUCAUAAUACCCAAUAAAUGUAGUACCUAAUGUAACAGUAUAACUUUAGUCGGUCCCCUCGCCGGGCUCGAACCAGGGACCCUAUGCACACAUCAACAACUGACACCCACGAAGAAGCGUUACCCAUCGUUCCACAAAAGCAGCAGCUCUCGCAGUGCAAUGGGAACCACUACUUCAAGGGCUCAAAGCAUGAAGAAUACAAGGAAAUGGUCAAAUGCCAGCCAUGGACCCCUCAGCACCAAACCCACCACAACAAGGAGUGUGACAAGUAGUAUGGAGCUGCCCACCCAAUUUUACCUACCUCAUCCCCAUACUGUUUAUAUUUAUUUACUUUUCUGCUCUUUUGCACACCAAUAUCUCUA
This is a non-coding RNA of Oncorhynchus mykiss (rainbow trout), 2392 nucleotides long. NCBI's taxonomy places the organism in Eukaryota, Metazoa, Chordata, Actinopteri, Salmoniformes, Salmonidae. The record is from RefSeq and is a predicted model, not a curated record.